UACGUAGGGCGCAAGCGUUUGUCCGGAAUUAUUGGGCGUAAAGAGCUCGUAGGCGGUUCGUCGCGUCGGCUGUGAAAACCCGAGGCUCAACCUCGGGCCUGCAGUCGAUACGGGCGGACUGGAGUUCGGCAGGGGAGACUGGAAUUCCUGGUGUAGCGGUGAAAUGCGCAGAUAUCAGGAGGAACACCGGUGGCGAAGGCGGGUCUCUGGGCCGAUACUGACGCUGAGGAGCGAAAGCGUGGGGAGCGAACAGG
Molecule: ribosomal RNA, 254 nt
Filed under: uncultured bacterium
Lineage: Bacteria
Description: partial 16S ribosomal RNA
Rfam family: Bacterial small subunit ribosomal RNA
Source: RNAcentral